RNAcentral lists this ribosomal RNA (497 nucleotides) under uncultured bacterium. Its description in RNAcentral is "partial 16S ribosomal RNA". It matches the Rfam family "Bacterial small subunit ribosomal RNA", at positions 28 to 507 of the family's 1533-position model. The record is from RNAcentral.
GAUGAACGCUGGCGGCGUGCCUAAUACAUGCAAGUCGAGCGAACGGACGAGAAGCUUGCUUCUCUGAUGUUAGCGGCGGACGGGUGAGUAACACGUGGAUAACCUACCUAUAAGACUGGGAUAACUUCGGGAAACCGUAGCUAAUACCGGAUAAUAUUUUGAACCGCAUGGUUCAAAAGUGAAAGACGGUCUUGCUGUCACUUAUAGAUGGAUCCGCGCUGCAUUAGCUAGUUGGUAAGGUAACGGCUUACCAAGGCAACGAUGCAUAGCCGACCUGAGAGGGUGGUCGGCCACCCUGGCACUGAGACACGGUCCACACUCCUACGGGAGGCAGCAGUAGGGACUCUUCCGCAAUGGGCGAAAGCCUGACGGAGCAACGCCGCGUGAGUGAUGAAGGUCUUCGGAUCGUAAAACUCUGUUAUUAGGGAAGAACAUAUGUGUAAGUAACUGUGCACAUCUUGACGGUACCUAAUCAGAAAGCCACGGCUAACUCCGUG